GUAUAGUUAAGUGACUAAGCGUACAAGGUGGAUGCCUUGGCAAUCAGAGGCGAAGAAGGACGUGCUAAUCUGCGAAAAGCUUGGAUGAGUCGAUAAGAGGCGUUUAAUCCAAGAUAUCCGAAUGGGGAAACCCAGUAGAUGAAGAAUCUACUAUCAACAAGUGAAUUCAUAGCUUGUUGAGGCAAACCGGGAGAACUGAAACAUCUAAGUACCCCGAGGAAAAGAAAUCAACCGAGAUUUCGUCAGUAGUGGCGAGCGAAAGCGAAAGAGCCAGUAAGUGAUAGCAGUAUAGUUAGGAGAAUGUGUUGGGAAGCACAAUCAAAGAGGGUGAUAAUCCCGUAUCUAAAAACCAUAUUGUGGUACUAAGCUAACGAGAAGUAGGGCGGGACACGUGAUAUCCUGUUUGAAGAAGGGGGGACCAUCCUCCAAGGCUAAAUACUCCUGAUUGACCGAUAGUGAACCAGUACUGUGAAGGAAAGGCGAAAAGAACCCCGGUGAGGGGAGUGAAAUAGAACCUGAAACCUUGUACGUACAAGCAGUGGGAGCGAGGGCAACCUUGUGACUGCGUACCUUUUGUAUAAUGGGUCAGCGACUUAUAUUUUGUAGCGAGGUUAACCGAAUAGGGGAGCCGAAGGGAAACCGAGUCUUAACUGGGCGAAUAGUUGCAAGGUAUAGACCCGAAACCCGGUGAUCUAGCCAUGGGCAGGUUGAAGGUUGGGUAACACUAACUGGAGGACCGAACCGACUAAUGUUGAAAAAUUAGCGGAUGACUUGUGGCUGGGGGUGAAAGGCCAAUCAAACCGGGAGAUAGCUGGUUCUCCCCGAAAUCUAUUUAGGUAGAGCCUUGAGGUGACACCUUUGGGGGUAGAGCACUGUUUCGGCUAGGGGUCCAUCCCGGAUUACCAACCCGAUGCAAACUACGAAUACCAAAGAGUGAUACUCAGGAGACACACGGCGGGUGCUAACGUCCGUCGUGGAGAGGGAAACAACCCAGACCGCCAGCUAAGGUCCCCAAGUCUAUAUUAAGUGGGAAACGAAGUGGGAAGGCUUAGACAGCUAGGAUGUUGGCUUAGAAGCAGCCAUCAUUUAAAGAAAGCGUAAUAGCUCACUAGUCGAGUCGGCCUGCGCGGAAGAUGUAACGGGGCUGAAAUAUAGCACCGAAGCUGCGGCAUCAGGCGUAUCACUAAUACGCCUUACGAUUAACAAGCUAGAAUGGCGCGAAGCGUCAUGAAAGGUUGUUCAAGCAACCCGAACGUUGAGUCGGGCAUCUUAGAGUAAGGAUGAUUAGUGAUACGCCUGUUGGGUAGGGGAGCGUUCUGUAAGCGGAUGAAGGUUAAUUGAGAGGUUAGCUGGACGUAUCAGAAGUGCGAAUGCUGACAUAAGUAACGAUAAAACGGGUGAAAAACCCGUUCGCCGGAAGACCAAGGGUUCCUGUCCAACGUUAAUCGGGGCAGGGUGAGUCGGCUCCUAAGGCGAGGCUGAAAAGCGUAGUCGAUGGGAAACAGGUUAAUAUUCCUGUACUUGGUAAAGCUGCGAUGUGGGGACGGAGUAGGUUAGGUUAUCGCACUGUUGGAUAUGUGCGUUUAAGUUGGUAGGUGGGAAGUUUAGGCAAAUCCGGACUUCCUUAACACAGAGAGAUGAUG
RNAcentral lists this ribosomal RNA (1643 nucleotides) under Haemophilus influenzae PittII. RNAcentral's name for it is "bacterial LSU rRNA". It matches the Rfam family "Bacterial large subunit ribosomal RNA", at positions 1 to 1568 of the family's 2925-position model. Lineage: Bacteria; Pseudomonadati; Pseudomonadota; Gammaproteobacteria; Pasteurellales; Pasteurellaceae. The record is from RNAcentral.